GCCCCGCCCUCAGCGCUCCGGCUGCGGGGCUGCGGGGCACGGCCGAGCGGCGCUUUGGUGCCCGGGCGCGUUCGGUCGGGUUAUCCCCGACUGCCGAACAACCAGCGCUCUCCGGCUUUCCGGGCGGAUCCGGCCGUUCUCCAGGGUUUUUCUAUCCAGGUGUUUGCGUCGGCUGUUUGCAGGCCUGGGAUGAAUCGAUGGCACCGGGGAAAGGCACAGCCUGUCCUUCCCAUCCGGCUGCGGUCGCGGUUCCCUGCGGGCUGGCCCUGCAGCGGCAGGACCACUUUGUACUCGGUUUUAGAAGGGGAAAAAUUAACAUGAUUUUUGUUUCUUCUCAUCACUCGCAUACUAGUGGUUGAACUGCCCUUCCCAAAAUUUUAACACACACCUCGUAUAUUUCUUUUGCUCUCCCGUUACUGGUUUUGCUGUUUCCGGACCGUGCUGGGACACAGCAGUGCUGCGGGAGCGCACACAGCCCCAGCGCUUUGGGACAGCUCCUGCUCAAAACGUUGCCAGAAGUGGUGUUAGAUGCCAAACACCGUAUUGACCCAUCUUCACUGACGAUUUACCAAAAUUUAAAUGGGCUCCUUUGGCAACAAAACCAAAAGAAGGAAGAAUCUCCUGUAAUGUUAAUUAAUCUUUAGCCUACUGGUGUCUGAUGAACACAUGGGAAAGAACAGCUGGUCUCAGUGCAAGAUACAUGGGCUUAGUGAUGAGGAAAAGGUGUCAGAGAAGAUGAAUUUCCAGGACUGGAAAAUAGGACAGCAAAGAAUGGAUUUGGAGCAUGAAAAGAUGGAGGAUUAUGGCCAGACAUUGGAGAGAGGAAUCCAUGACAGACCCAGAUGUAAUUUAAGAAAAUACUUACUACCUGCCCAGCAUAGGUUUAACUGGAAUUGUAGUGAUGAAAGCAGAAGAGGGAAAAAUGCAGUCUUUUACAACCCAUGUCACUGUAUCUCACUUACAUCCAGAGAUAGAAGAUCUAAUUGGUGA
RNAcentral lists this long non-coding RNA (990 nucleotides) under Cyanistes caeruleus (blue tit). Its description in RNAcentral is "lncRNA (ENSCCEG00000010399.1)". Lineage: Eukaryota; Metazoa; Chordata; Aves; Passeriformes; Paridae. The record is from RNAcentral.